UUUUGUGGAGGGUUCGAUUCUGGCUCAGGAUGAACGCUGGCGGCGUGCUUAACACAUGCAAGUCGAACGGGAUCCGAGCAGCUUGCUGCUUGGUGAGAGUGGCGAACGGGU
RNAcentral lists this ribosomal RNA (111 nucleotides) under Bifidobacterium sp. Its description in RNAcentral is "partial 16S ribosomal RNA". It matches the Rfam family "Bacterial small subunit ribosomal RNA", at positions 1 to 107 of the family's 1533-position model. Lineage: Bacteria; Bacillati; Actinomycetota; Actinomycetes; Bifidobacteriales; Bifidobacteriaceae. The record is from RNAcentral.